Molecule: long non-coding RNA, 756 nt
Organism: Anthonomus grandis grandis
Lineage: Eukaryota; Metazoa; Arthropoda; Insecta; Coleoptera; Curculionidae
Exons: 3
Source: RefSeq, a predicted model, not a curated record
CUGGUUAAAAACACAGCAGCCAAUAAUUCAGUUAAUUUACCAAGUGAUUUACCCUUCAAAGCUGCAGGGGUAGCUUUCCUGAAGAGUGCAAAAACUUCUUUAGCUUUCAAAACAGUAUAUAGUACAAACAGUGAAGCUAAUAUAGACAAAUCUGAUCAUUCAUCAUCAACAAUAACUGCAUCUGAGAAUUAUAGUUCUACAGUAACCGUGGGGUCUAGGUCAACAAUUACUAUUUCUCAUCCAAGCCGUUUUUGUUUAACUGCUACACAUUCCCUGACUCUGCCAAGGAAAAGGGCAAAAUCAAAAUGAUAUCCUGAGGACCUAAGCACUGAUGAUUCCACCGUUUCAAAAGCUAAAUCACUUGUCACCAGAUUAUGGAAAAAAAAUAAAGAACAAAAAAUUAAAAUUCGAGGAUUGCAACAAGCAAAUUUGCGCCAAAGAAAUUGAAUUAGAUGUCUCAAGUCAUUAUUAAAAUACUAACAUACUAACAAAAAAUAAUAACAUGAUUUUCGAAAAAGCCCAACAUACUACAUAUUUUAUUUGACUUGUAAAAGUACUUGUUUGUAUAUUACUAUUAAUAAACUAUCUAAUCUAUUGUACAUAGUGUUUAUUCUUAGCUUUGUUUUUCAGUAUAAAUUAAUAUGAUAUAAUAAAUGGUAUUAGGUAUUAUAUAGGUCACUAUUAAAUGUCUCAAAACCAUUAUACAGGCUAAAUACUUAUAAUAAAAAUCUUAUAACCUACAAAAAACCUGCAACU